Priapulus caudatus is the source of this 307-nucleotide long non-coding RNA. RefSeq lists it as uncharacterized. The transcript has 3 exons. The record is from RefSeq and is a predicted model, not a curated record. NCBI's taxonomy places the organism in Eukaryota, Metazoa, Priapulida, Priapulimorpha, Priapulimorphida, Priapulidae.
GCGGAGAUGAUCGGGAAAACCGCACAGUUUGUUAAUUAAUGAUACUGUGAUACUGGUAUCGAUCAUCCACGCGUCUGACGUUUCGUCGCAGAUAACACCGCGACGACAAUGGCGGACGACAUCGGCGAGGACUUCCCCGGCAAACUUCUCCACCAGGCGGCGCUGUGGGACAACGCCGAGCUGCUCGGCGACUUGCUCAAUGGCGACCAGGUGCAGUACAUUGAUCAGGUGGACGUUGAGGGAAGGUCGGGACUGCACGCCGCUGCCACGCACGGUUCCUCACAGUGCAUGAAAAUAUUGCUGGAUG